UGAUGCUUUGACGAUAAAUACUUAUUAAAAUUCAAAUUAUUUAUUUCUGCCUUGUAAAGGUACAGACAGCAGAGGCGCAGAAAAAGCUGUCAGAUACAGAUUGACAAAGCCGCAGCCCCCUUUCGCUUGGCAGAGCCUUCACAGCGACACUUUUAAAACAAAGACAAUUGCACCCGGUAAUAACAGGUAUACAAUACUGAGCAAGUACAAAAGGAAACCAAUCAAGAUUAUACGAUAUUUGUACAAUACUCCCAAACAAGAAAACAGAACCUACAUGCUAACGUACAUAGCACCCAAAGUACUGUUCGACACGUUGAAGAAGUCAAAAUUAUUGUUCACAUAAGGUAUAUACAUAUUCGUAUAGCGCUACCAAUCCCUGCAAAAUAUAGAACGCAGAUUUUCAUUACACACACGCACGCACGCACGUGCACAGCACACACACCAAAAGGAAACGGCAACGCGCUCACAGGAAGCGCCUGAAAAACGAAAAAAAAAAAGGAAAAGUGUGGGGAACCGAGGUCGUCUUGGGCUGUCGCCUCUCCCUCUCCCAGAAGGAAUGAAGAGGUUCUUGGAAAGCAGGGACGGGCGAUUCUCUCUGUCAGCAUCAGCUCCCACCAGCGAGGACGGGGCGAGAAAGCGAAACGGGACUUUCCUUGCUGUCUAUUUUUUCUUCGUCAGGCCAACGCCGCUUGCUUGCAGGGGCGCAGGCGAGUUCCCGCCAAAUGGCGCGGGUGCGUGAGUUGCCGCCAAAUGCUAGCUCUGGAUGCCAGCUCGUUCCGCGUCUCAUGGUAGACUAGUUGGUGCAUUUCUGUUAUCAUGGACUGCGCAUAUAAACGCAAGCUACACAAAAGUGACAUGGACAAGAACAGCGCAAGCCCUUUACAUGCAGUGGAGCCGCCGUAUCUCGCCGUUCAAGAUAUGCGUACUCGAAAAAAAAAAAAGGAGGCUUUACAUGAGAACGGAUCAAGCGUUCGAGAGUUGGGACAGGGAAAUGUGAGACGUACGUAUGUAUAUAUUUCUAAUAUUAUUUUUUCGUCUUGUAUUCUCGUUAAUUUUUCUCUAGGAAACACUGGAACGACACUGCUUAAAUUGAAGCACAGUGUGCGAAUGACCUGCUACGCUCGGAACUGUUAUCACCAUUCGGGAAGAAAUUGGGUAAGAAUGGAUUGUGUGUGGCGCGCUUCACCGCAUGUGGACUAGAGUAGAUCUAGGAACAUCAGACAAGAAGACACGUAUGUGAAACCCUGCGGAUAGCCCAUAUGUGAACUUUUUUUCCAGAUACGGAGGAACGGACACCGGUCAUGCCGUGCGCACUCUUCUGCAGGGCAUACUUACAAAUGAAGCUGCACUGCAGUUCAGCUGGAAAGGGUCGCAGGGGAGGAAGCACGCCUUCGUGAAGCUCAUGGCCAUCACGAAUAUAACAUCUGUGAGGAGCACGUUCCCUGACGCUUCACUAGCAUCAGUGGCUGGAGUCGCAAAACGCCGGUUGGUUGGAGCAGCUGACAGGGAUGGAGGCCGGAAUGAAAGAAGGCGCCGUGACCCUGCUUCAAGCCCACCAAAUAUGAACUAGUGUUUGAAACUUGUGAACGUGUCGGUGUACAUAUACAAUUACAAGAAAUAAAGACCUGUAUCAGAA
Non-coding RNA from Dermacentor andersoni, 1636 nucleotides. Lineage: Eukaryota; Metazoa; Arthropoda; Arachnida; Ixodida; Ixodidae. The record is from RefSeq and is a predicted model, not a curated record.